RNAcentral lists this ribosomal RNA (460 nucleotides) under uncultured bacterium. Its description in RNAcentral is "partial 16S ribosomal RNA". It matches the Rfam family "Bacterial small subunit ribosomal RNA", at positions 338 to 795 of the family's 1533-position model. The record is from RNAcentral.
CCUACGGGCGGCUGCAGUGAGGAAUAUUGGUCAAUGGACGAGAGUCUGAACCAGCCAAGUAGCGUGAAGGAUGACUGCCCUAUGGUUUGUAAACUUCUUUUAUAAAGGAAUAAAACUACGCACUUGUACCUUUUUGCAUUUACUUUAUGAAUAAGGAUCGGCUAACUCCGUGCCAGCAGCCGCGGUAAUACGGAGGAUCCGAGCGUUAUCCGGAUUUAUUGGGCUUAAAGGGAUCGUAGAUGGGUUGUUAAGUCAGAUGUGAAAGCUGUAGGCUCAACCGCAAAAUUGCAAUGGAUACUGGCAGUCUUGAGUACAGUAGAGGUAGGCAGAAUUCGUGGUGUAGCGGUGAAAGGCUUAGAUAUCACGAAGAAUACAGGUGGCGAAGGCAGCUUCCUAAACUGUGACUGACAUUGAUGUUCGAAAGUGUGGGUAUCAAACAGGAUUAGAUACCCCUGUAGUC